Long non-coding RNA from Bombus pyrosoma, 474 nucleotides. RefSeq lists it as uncharacterized. Lineage: Eukaryota; Metazoa; Arthropoda; Insecta; Hymenoptera; Apidae. The record is from RefSeq and is a predicted model, not a curated record. The transcript is spliced from 3 exons.
CAAGUUUUAGAUGAGAUGAAAUGUUUUAUUUGAUUAAGGAGCACCUAUCUGACUUCUGCUAAUAUUUAGUACUUGGUAUUAUCUAAAUCGUUGUUGACUAAAUGAUAAGAUAAAAUUUUAGAAGAGCUAUUGCUUGAAAAGAUCUGCCUCGUAUUCCUCUAAUUCAUCGGUAUCAGAAUCAAUUUCAAAAUCUACAUAUAUACUUCCUCUGGAGACUUUACACACCAUUUGAGCUAAGUCUGUGAAGGUAUAAGAAGAUACUGUUUGCUGGUUUGCCGCCUGGUGUUUUGCUCGUAAUGCACGGGCAUUUUCUCUAUCUGCAUUAAAACGUGGUAAAUUCGGAACUUUGACGGGCGUUGCGAAAGGAUUCCAUCGUUUCCACAAUAACCACCAACCGGAUAAAGAAUCUCCAUAAUUUGUUAAAUCCGUAUCAUCUUGUGAUCCAACGUCAAUGGCCAAAAUAUGAUGUGCUCC